UAAUCUGCCCUAUGGUCUGGCAUACCCACGGGAAACUGUGGUUAAAACCGGAUAGACAAUUGGUACUGGAACUGUUCUUUUCUUGAAAGGCAACGCCUUAGGAUGAGUUGGCGGCGGAUUAGCUUGUUGGUAGUGUAAAGGACUACCAAGGCUACGAUCCGUACGGGGUGUGAGAGCACGAGCCCGGAGAAGGGUACUGAGACACUGACCCUAGCCCUACGGGGUGCAGCAGGCGCGAAACCUUUACAAUGUACGUAAGUGCGAUAAGGGGACUCCCAGUGCUCAGGUAUUGCCUGGGCUUUUGCCAACUGUAAAUAGGUUGGCGAAUGAGGGGUGGGUAAGACGGGUGCCAGCCGCCGCGGUAACACCUGCGCCCCAAGUGGCAAUCGCGAUUAUUGGGCCUAAAGCGUACGUAGCCGGAUUAAUAAGUCUUGGGUGAACUCGUUACGCUUAACAGAACGACGUGCUUGAGAUACUGUUAUGCUAGGGACCGGGAGGCGUUAGGGGUAUUUUCGAGGGAGCGGUAAAAUGCUAUAAUCUCGAGAGGACCACCUGUGGCGAAGGCGCCUAACGAGAACGGGUCCGACGGUGAGGGACGAAAGCUAGGGGAGCAAACCGGAUUAGAUACCCGAGUAGUCCUAGCUGUAAACGCUGUGUACUAGAUGUUGCAUAAUCUACAUGGUUGUGCAGUGUCGAAGCGAAGGUAUUAAGUACACCGCCCGGGAAGUACGGUCGCAAGGCUGAAACUUAAAGGAAUUGGCGGGAGAGCACCACAAGGGGUGCGGCGUGCGGUUUAAUCUAACUCUACGCAGAGAAUCUCACCAGCAGCGACGGCAGAAUGAAGGUCAGAUUGAAUGUCUUACUUGACGAGCCGAGAGGUAGUGCAGGGCCGUCGUCAGCUCGUGCCGUAGGGUGUCCUCUUAAGUGAGGUAACGAGCGAGACCCAUACCCUUAAUUGCCAGCGGGCAUUACGAUGUGACCGGGCACCUUAAGGGGACUGCUGUGGAAACGCAGAGGAAGGUGUGGGCAACGGUAGGUCUGUAUGCUCCGAAUCUGCUGGGCUACACGCGCGCAACAAUGGCAUGGACAAUGGGUUGCAACACCGAAAGGUGAAGCUAAACCUUCAAACUGUGUCUAAGUCUAGAUUGAGGACUGUAACUCGUCCUCAUG
RNAcentral lists this ribosomal RNA (1170 nucleotides) under uncultured euryarchaeote. RNAcentral describes it as "bacterial SSU rRNA". It matches the Rfam family "Archaeal small subunit ribosomal RNA", at positions 105 to 1278 of the family's 1478-position model. Lineage: Archaea; Methanobacteriati; Methanobacteriota. The record is from RNAcentral.